AUUGAACGCUGGCGGCAUGCCUUACACAUGCAAGUCGAACGGUAACGGGCCUUCGGGUGCCGACGAGUGACGAACGGGUGAGUAAUACAUCGGAACGUGCCCGAUCGUGGGGGAUAACGAGGCGAAAGCUUUGCUAAUACCGCAUACGAUCUACGGAUGAAAGCAGGGGACCGCAAGGCCUUGCGCGGACGGAGCGGCCGAUGGCAGAUUAGGUAGUUGGUGGGAUAAAAGCUUACCAAGCCGACGAUCUGUAGCUGGUCUGAGAGGAUGAUCAGCCACACUGGGACUGAGACACGGCCCAGACUCCUACGGGAGGCAGCAGUGGGGAAUUUUGGACAAUGGGCGCAAGCCUGAUCCAGCCAUGCCGCGUGCAGGAUGAAGGCCUUCGGGUUGUAAACUGCUUUUGUACGGAACGAAAAGCCUUCUUUUAAUACAGGAGGGUCAUGACGGUACCGUAAGAAUAAGCACCGGCUAACUACGUG
This 482-nucleotide ribosomal RNA is filed under the name uncultured bacterium. RNAcentral describes it as "partial 16S ribosomal RNA". It matches the Rfam family "Bacterial small subunit ribosomal RNA", at positions 30 to 507 of the family's 1533-position model. The record is from RNAcentral.